Molecule: ribosomal RNA, 450 nt
Filed under: uncultured bacterium
Lineage: Bacteria
Description: partial 16S ribosomal RNA
Rfam family: Bacterial small subunit ribosomal RNA
Source: RNAcentral
AACGAACGCUGGCGGUAUGCUUAACACAUGCAAGUCGAACGAGGUAGCAAUACCUAGUGGCAAACGGGUGAGUAAUACAGAGGAAUCUACCUAGCAGUAAGGAAUAACCCUGAGAAAUCAGGGCUAAUACCAUAUAUUACCCUUCGGGGGAAAGAUUUAUCGCUGUUAGAUGAGCCUCUGCCGGAUUAGCUAGUUGGUAGGGUAAUGGCCUACCAAGGCAAUGGUCCGUAGCUGGUCUGAGAGGAUGAUCAGCCACACUGGAACUGAGACACGGUCCAGACUCCUACGGGAGGCAGCAGUGGGGAAUAUUGGACAAUGGGCGCAAGCCUGAUCCAGCAAUACCGCGUGAGUGAUGAAGGUCUUCGGAUUGUAAAGCUCUUUUAGUAGAGAAGAUAAUGACGGUAUCUACAGAAAAAGCACCGGCAAACUUCGUGCCAGCAGCCGCAGUAA